UACGAAGGGGGCUAGCGUUGCUCGGAAUCACUGGGCGUAAAGGGUGCGUAGGCGGGUCUUUAAGUCAGAGGUGAAAUCCUGGAGCUCAACUCCAGAACUGCCUUUGAUACUGAGGAUCUUGAGUUCGGGAGAGGUGAGUGGAACUGCGAGUGUAGAGGUGAAAUUCGUAGAUAUUCGCAAGAACACCAGUGGCGAAGGCGGCUCACUGGCCCGAUACUGACGCUGAGGCACGAAAGCGUGGGGAGCAAACAG
Molecule: ribosomal RNA, 252 nt
Filed under: uncultured bacterium
Lineage: Bacteria
Description: partial 16S ribosomal RNA
Rfam family: Bacterial small subunit ribosomal RNA
Source: RNAcentral